UUUGUACUUCCCCAGUCCCAACAUUCUUGUCUUAGAUUUGUUUAGAUAUAAAUGUAUCUAAUUAUGUUUUAGUAUUUUGAUACAUUCAUUUUUAGAUAAAUUUAAGACAAAAUUUUUGAUACGGAGGGAGUAUUUU
This is a non-coding RNA of Hordeum vulgare subsp. vulgare (domesticated barley), 136 nucleotides long. The record is from Rfam. Lineage: Eukaryota; Viridiplantae; Streptophyta; Magnoliopsida; Poales; Poaceae.